This 306-nucleotide ribosomal RNA is filed under the name Propylea japonica. Its description in RNAcentral is "eukaryotic LSU rRNA". It matches the Rfam family "Eukaryotic large subunit ribosomal RNA", at positions 645 to 918 of the family's 3401-position model. The record is from RNAcentral. Lineage: Eukaryota; Metazoa; Arthropoda; Insecta; Coleoptera; Coccinellidae.
UGACCCGUCUUGAAACACGGACCAAGGAGUCUAGCGUGUGCGCGAGUCAUUGGGAUAUAACUAAACCUAAAGGCGAAAUGAAAGUAAACGUCCGCCUCGUGCGGACUAAGGGAAGAUGAUCGGUCUCCAUGACCGUUCCGCAUUCCCGGGGCGUCUCAUUCUCAUUGCGAGACGAGGCGCACCAAGAGCGUACACGCUGGGACCCGAAAGAUGGUGAACUAUGCCUGGUCAGGACGAAGUCAGGGGAAACCCUGAUGGAGGUCCGUAGCGAUUCUGACGUGCAAAUCGAUCGUCGGAACUGGGUAU